RNAcentral lists this ribosomal RNA (796 nucleotides) under uncultured archaeon. RNAcentral describes it as "bacterial SSU rRNA". It matches the Rfam family "Archaeal small subunit ribosomal RNA", at positions 85 to 879 of the family's 1478-position model. The record is from RNAcentral.
ACGGCUCAGUAACACGUGGAUAACCUGCCCUUGGGUCCGGCAUAACCCCGGGAAACUGGGGAUAAUUCCGGAUAACGCACAUAUGCUGGAAUGCUUUAUGCGUAAAAUGGAUUCGUCUGCCCAAGGAUGGGUCCGCGGCCUAUCAGGUAGUAGUGGGUGUAAUGUACCUACUAGCCUACAACGGGUACGGGUUGUGAGAGCAAGAGCCCGGAGAUGGAUUCUGAGACAUGAAUCCAGGCCCUACGGGGCGCAGCAGGCGCGAAAACUUUACAAUGCGGGAAACCGUGAUAAGGGGACACCGAGUGCCAGCAUCAUAUGCUGGCUGUCCAGGUGUGUAAAAUACACCUGUUAGCAAGGGCCGGGCAAGACCGGUGCCAGCCGCCGCGGUAACACCGGCGGCCCGAGUGGUGAUCGUGAUUAUUGGGUCUAAAGGGUCCGUAGCCGGUUUGGUCAGUCCUCCGGGAAAUCUGACGGCUUAACCGUUAGGCUUUCGGGGGAUACUGCCAGGCUUGGAACCGGGAGAGGUAAGAGGUACUACAGGGGUAGGAGUGAAAUCUUGUAAUCCCUGUGGGACCACCUGUGGCGAAGGCGUCUUACCAGAACGGGUUCGACGGUGAGGGACGAAAGCUGGGGGCACGAACCGGAUUAGAUACCCGGGUAGUCCCAGCCGUAAACGAUGCUCGCUAGGUGUCAGGCAUGGCGCGACCGUGUCUGGUGCCGCAGGGAAGCCGUGAAGCGAGCCACCUGGGAAGUACGGCCGCAAGGCUGAAACUUAAAGGAAUUGGCGGGGGAGCAC